GGCAGGCUAGAGUGUGGUAGGGGAGACUGGAACUCCUGGUGUAGCGGUGAAAUGCGCAGAUAUCAGGAAGAACACCGAUGGCGAAGGCAGGUCUCUGGGCCAUUACUGACACUGAGGAGCGAAAGCAUGGGUAGCGAACAGGAUUAGAUACCCUGGUAGUCCAUGCCGUAAACGUUGGGCACUAGGUGUGGGGGACAUUCCACGUUUUCCGCGCCGUAGCUAACGCAUUAAGUGCCCCGCCUGGGGAGUACGGCCGCAAGGCUAAAACUCAAAGGAAUUGACGGGGGCCCGCACAAGCGGCGGAGCAUGCUGAUUAAUUCGAUGCAACGCGAAGAACCUUACCAAGGCUUGACAUGCACCGGACGGCCGCAGAGAUGUGGCUUUCUUCGGACUGGUGCACAGGUGGUGCAUGGUUGUCGUCAGCUCGUGUCGUGAGAUGUUGGGUUAAGUCCCGCAACGAGCGCAACCCUUGUUCUAUGUUGCCAGCACGUGAUGGUGGGGACUCAUAGGAGACUGCCGGGGUCAACUCGGAGGAAGGUGGGGACGACGUCAAAUCAUCAUGCCCCUUAUGUCUUGGGCUUCAAGCAUGCUACAAUGGUCGGUACAAUGGGUUGCGAAACUGUGAGGUGGAGCGAAUCCCAAAAAGCCGGCCUCAGUUCGGAUUGGGGUCUGCAACUCGACCCCAUGAAGUCGGAGUCGCUAGUAAUCGCAGAUCAGCAACGCUGCGGUGAAUACGUUCCCGGGCCUUGUACACACCGCCCGUCAAGUCACGAAAGUCGGUAACACCCGAAGCCAGUGGCCCAUCCUUGUGAGGGAGCUGUCGAAGGUGGGAUCGGU
RNAcentral lists this ribosomal RNA (837 nucleotides) under Brachybacterium saurashtrense. RNAcentral's name for it is "bacterial SSU rRNA". It matches the Rfam family "Bacterial small subunit ribosomal RNA", at positions 635 to 1472 of the family's 1533-position model. The record is from RNAcentral. Lineage: Bacteria; Bacillati; Actinomycetota; Actinomycetes; Micrococcales; Dermabacteraceae.